GAGUUUUGAUCAUGGCUCAGGAUGAACGCUGGCGGCGUGCCUAACACAUGCAAGUCGAACGAAGCACUUACUUCCAAAUCUUCGGAAGAGGAGGUAUUUUGACUGAGUGGCGGACGGGUGAGUAACGCGUGGGGAACCUGCCCCGUACCGGGGGAUAACAGUCAGAAAUGACUGCUAAUACCGCAUAAGCGCACGAAGGCGCAUGCUUUUGUGUAGAAAAACUCCGGUGGUACGGAUGGUCCCGCGUCUGAUUAGCCAGUUGGCGGGUAACGGCCCACCAAAGCGACGAUCAGUAGCCGGCCUG
This 304-nucleotide ribosomal RNA is filed under the name uncultured bacterium. Its description in RNAcentral is "bacterial SSU rRNA". It matches the Rfam family "Bacterial small subunit ribosomal RNA", at positions 9 to 294 of the family's 1533-position model. The record is from RNAcentral.